GUUACGCUAAUACCGCAUAUUCUGUGAGCAGGAAAGAGGGGGAUCGCAAGACCUCUUGCUUUAGGAGCGGCCGAUGUCGGAUUAGCUAGUUGGUGAGGUAAAGGCUCACCAAGGCGACGAUCCGUAGCGGGUCUGAGAGGAUGAUCCGCCACACUGGGACUGAGACACGGCCCAGACUCCUACGGGAGGCAGCAGUGGGGAAUUUUGGACAAUGGGCGCAAGCCUGAUCCAGCCAUGCCGCGUGAGUGAAGAAGGCCUUCGGGUUGUAAAGCUCUUUCGGUGGGGAAGAAAUUGCUUCGGUUAAUACCUGGAGUAGAUGACGGUACCCGCAUAAGAAGCACCGGCUAACUACGUG
RNAcentral lists this ribosomal RNA (355 nucleotides) under uncultured bacterium. RNAcentral's name for it is "bacterial SSU rRNA". It matches the Rfam family "Bacterial small subunit ribosomal RNA", at positions 157 to 507 of the family's 1533-position model. The record is from RNAcentral.